AAGUCGUAACAAGAUAGGUGAACCUGCGGAAGGAUCAUUAGCACAUAUCCAAACGUUAAAACAACCCUGUGAAUAUUAAAUCUCUGUUCCCCCAAAACAGAAAAAUGGGCUUCCUCUUUUAAAUCAUUGACUUACCAAGAUUUUGAGUUAGAGGAUGGCGCACGAGUAGCACCUGUAUUCAUCAAUCUGAAAGUGUUUGGUGAAUUGUGCAAGGACAGCGCAGUCAACGAUCGGUGGUCCACACGGCCACCGACUGGGGGUCGUUACUCCCUCGUGGGGCCUAGUUCAUUCAGGUCAUGAUGCAUGUCUUCCGCGCCCGACGAAAGUCCGACGCACCCCUAAUCGAACAACUGUUAACAAUGGAUCUUGGUUCUC
This 375-nucleotide unclassified non-coding RNA is filed under the name fungal sp. Its description in RNAcentral is "partial internal transcribed spacer region". The record is from RNAcentral. Lineage: Eukaryota; Fungi.